Molecule: ribosomal RNA, 253 nt
Filed under: uncultured bacterium
Lineage: Bacteria
Description: partial 16S ribosomal RNA
Rfam family: Bacterial small subunit ribosomal RNA
Source: RNAcentral
UACGUAGGGGGCUAGCGUUGUCCGGAUUUAUUGGGCGUAAAGAGCGUGUAGGCGGCCAUGUAGGUCCGGUGUGAAAACUCGAGGCUUAACCUCGAGAUGUCAUCGGAAACCAUUUGGCUAGAGUCCGGAAGAGGAGAGUGGAAUUCCUGGUGUAGCGGUGAAAUGCGCAGAUAUCAGGAAGAACACCAAUGGCGAAAGAAGAUCUCUGGGACGGUACUGACGCUGAGACGCGAAAGCGUGGGGAGCGAACAGG